CUGAGUCACGUGCUCAAACAACCCUUCUGUGGACCGAAAUUUAACCGUUGCCUCGGCGGGCGGUCCCCCGCUAAAACCCCACUACAUGUGGUGUAAGGUAGGGGACCAGACAGUCCGGUACGCCCUGAGGCGUCCGGCGCCAGCCGCUGGCCCUAAACAAUUAAACUCUAGUAACUUUACCUUCUGAGUUUUAAUACCAAAAAAUAAAUCA
This 211-nucleotide unclassified non-coding RNA is filed under the name uncultured Ascomycota. RNAcentral's name for it is "sequence contains ITS1". Lineage: Eukaryota; Fungi; Ascomycota. The record is from RNAcentral.